This 509-nucleotide ribosomal RNA is filed under the name uncultured bacterium. Its description in RNAcentral is "bacterial SSU rRNA". It matches the Rfam family "Bacterial small subunit ribosomal RNA", at positions 60 to 559 of the family's 1533-position model. The record is from RNAcentral.
AGUCGAACGGUAACAGGAAGCAGCUUGCUGCUUCGCUGACGAGUGGCGGACGGGUGAGUAAUGUCUGGGAAACUGCCUGAUGGAGGGGGAUAACUACUGGAAACGGUAGCUAAUACCGCAUAACGUCGCAAGACCAAAGAGGGGGACCUUCGGGCCUCUUGCCAUCGGAUGUGCCCAGAUGGGAUUAGCUAGUAGGUGGGGUAACGGCUCACCUAGGCGACGAUCCCUAGCUGGUCUGAGGGGAUGACCAGCCACACUGGAACUGAGACACGGUCCAGACUCCUACGGGAGGCAGCAGUGGGGAAUAUUGCACAAUGGGCGCAAGCCUGAUGCAGCCAUGCCGCGUGUAUGAAGAAGGCCUUCCGGUUGUAAAGUACUUUCAGCGGGGAGGAAGGCGAUAAGGUUAAUAACCUUGUCGAUUGACGUUACCCGCAGAAGAAGCACUGGCUAACUCCAUGCCAGCAGCCGCGUAAUACGGAGGGGGCAAGCGUUAAUCGGAAUUACUGGGC